GAGCGCACUCAUGAAUCUCUGUAGCUGCUGACUGUGACGCGAGGAUCUGUGGAUCAUUAUUUCUGCAUGACUUUAGUGUAUAUUCAGUGUGAUUUUAUAAACACUUACAUGUUCUUACAGACACGAAUGGAGUUUAAAAAGAAAACAACACAAACAGAAAGCUGCCGGAGCAUCAGAAACCACAGAUGAGCAAAAUAACAGAAAAGAGAGAGAAAUGGAGGUCAGAAAUAAGACACAAAUCUGUGAAUCACAAGAGAAGAGCAGACAGAUGUGUGCCAGAUGGGACAGUAUGCAGAGACUGAAGCCAUUGUUGUAAUGUGAUCCAGACGGAUUUGUGAAGUUUGAUUCUGAUGUUAAACGUGAGGUGAGAUUCUCAGAUCGAACCCUUCAUCACUGACAUCCAUCAGCAGCUGCUGAAGACCUAAACAUCAUCAUCAUCAUCAUCAUCAGACUACGGUUCACGGUCUGUUCAUCUCCUGACAUCUGGAGGCUUUUACAGACUCGUCUGAUCACAAACACACUCAGCAGGAGCUGCAUCUUCUGAUAUCACGCUGAUGCUGGACUUUACUGUCAUCAUCAUGAACAUCUGACCUGCAUCUGCGUCACAGAGACUCGUUUUCAUUUGACAAAAUAUUUGUUUCAUUUUGCACUGCCUCAUAUUUGAUGCAUUUUCAUUUACUAUGCAUGCUUUUGUAUUCCUGUAUAUUAUGAUUUAUUUAAUAGAUUCUAUCCACCUUAUUUCUAACAGAAAUACUCUCUAACAUACAUUGAAUGUAUCUGGCUUCUGCUGUCAUACACUUCCAGUUAUUUUUAGCUGCACAAAACAGCUCAUUAUGCUGCUUGAUGCUGCAAAACCUGGUACUACUUUUAAUGAAGUGUCAUAAUUAUAAAAACACAGGUCUGUAGAGCAAUUGUUUUACCGUUCACUGCACUUUAUUAUUCUAGUUAUUUCCAUAUUGCAGCUGAUGAAUCUGAAGUCUUGCACUUUCACAGAAAAUCACUUACUUCCGUGUUGCAAAAUAAGGUGGAUAUUUCUCUGUAUAUUUUUGUAUCGUUCCAUCGUUCCGUUUAUUGCAUAUGCGUUUAUUAACUUUUCAUCCUAUUCUUAAUUAAUGUAACAACCAUUG
Long non-coding RNA from Onychostoma macrolepis, 1127 nucleotides. RefSeq lists it as uncharacterized. The transcript is spliced from 3 exons. NCBI's taxonomy places the organism in Eukaryota, Metazoa, Chordata, Actinopteri, Cypriniformes, Cyprinidae. The record is from RefSeq and is a predicted model, not a curated record.